CAGCAGCCGCCGCGGUAGACAGAGGAUGCAAGCGUUAUCCGGAAUGAUUGGGCGUAAAGCGUCUGUAGGUGGCUUUUCAAGUCCGCCGUCAAAUCCCAGGGCUCAACCCUGGACAGGCGGUGGAAACUACCAAGCUGGAGUACGGUAGGGGCAGAGGGAAUUUCCAGUGGAGCGGUGAAAUGCGUUGAGAUCGGAAGGAACGCCCGUGGCGAAAGCGAGGUCCUGGACGUCUGCUGACGCUGAGACGCGAAAGCCAGGGGAGCGAACGGGAUUAGAUACCCCCGUAGUCCCUGUCUCUUAUACA
This 304-nucleotide ribosomal RNA is filed under the name uncultured bacterium. RNAcentral describes it as "partial 16S ribosomal RNA". It matches the Rfam family "Bacterial small subunit ribosomal RNA", at positions 506 to 809 of the family's 1533-position model. The record is from RNAcentral.